Molecule: ribosomal RNA, 552 nt
Filed under: uncultured bacterium
Lineage: Bacteria
Description: bacterial SSU rRNA
Rfam family: Bacterial small subunit ribosomal RNA
Source: RNAcentral
AAUAGAUACCCCGGUAGUCCACGCCGUAAACGAUGAGUGCUAAGUGUUGGGGGGUUUCCGCCCCUCAGUGCUGCAGCUAACGCAUUAAGCACUCCGCCUGGGGAGUACGGUCGCAAGACUGAAACUCAAAGGAAUUGACGGGGGCCCGCACAAGCGGUGGAGCAUGUGGUUUAAUUCGAAGCAACGCGAAGAACCUUACCAGGUCUUGACAUCCCGGUGACCACUAUGGAGACAUAGUUUCCCCUUCGGGGGCAACGGUGACAGGUGGUGCAUGGUUGUCGUCAGCUCGUGUCGUGAGAUGUUGGGUUAAGUCCCGCAACGAGCGCAACCCUUAUUCUUAGUUGCCAUCAUUUAGUUGGGCACUCUAAGGAGACUGCCGGUGAUAAACCGGAGGAAGGUGGGGAUGACGUCAAAUCAUCAUGCCCCUUAUGACCUGGGCUACACACGUGCUACAAUGGACGGUACAAACGGUUGCCAACCCGCGAGGGGGAGCUAAUCCGAUAAAACCGUUCUCAGUUCGGAUUGUAGGCUGCAACUCGCCUACAUGAAGCC